This 219-nucleotide ribosomal RNA is filed under the name Onthophagus sp. 4 CWC-2007. RNAcentral's name for it is "partial 28S ribosomal RNA". It matches the Rfam family "Eukaryotic large subunit ribosomal RNA", at positions 92 to 291 of the family's 3401-position model. Lineage: Eukaryota; Metazoa; Arthropoda; Insecta; Coleoptera; Scarabaeidae. The record is from RNAcentral.
AGCGAACAGGGAAGAGCCCAGCACCGAAUCCCGCGGCCGGAAACGGACGCCGGGAAAUGUGGUGUUAGGGAGGAUCCGCCAUCCCGAGAUCGCACGGCGAGCCCAAGUCCUUCUUGAACGGGGCCACUUACCCAGAGAGGGUGCCAGGCCCGUAGAGGCGGCCGUCGGUAGCGGGAGGAUCUCUCCUCAGAGUCGGGUUGCUUGAGAGUGCAGCCCUAA